RNAcentral lists this transfer RNA (72 nucleotides) under Mus musculus (house mouse). RNAcentral's name for it is "tRNA-Pro". Lineage: Eukaryota; Metazoa; Chordata; Mammalia; Rodentia; Muridae. The record is from RNAcentral.
GGCUUGUUGGUCUAGGGGAAUGAUUCUCGCUUUGGGUCUGGCAGGUCCUGGGUUCAAAUCUUAGAAGAGACC